RNAcentral lists this ribosomal RNA (465 nucleotides) under Vreelandella stevensii. RNAcentral's name for it is "partial 16S ribosomal RNA". It matches the Rfam family "Bacterial small subunit ribosomal RNA", at positions 338 to 795 of the family's 1533-position model. The record is from RNAcentral. Lineage: Bacteria; Pseudomonadati; Pseudomonadota; Gammaproteobacteria; Oceanospirillales; Halomonadaceae.
CCUACGGAGAGCAGCAGUGGGGAAUAUUGGACAAUGGGCGAAAGCCUGAUCCAGCCAUGCCGCGUGUGUGAAGAAGGCCUUCGGGUUGUAAAGCACUUUCAGUGGGGAAGAAAGCCUUGGGGCUAAUACCCUCGAGGAAGGACAUCACCCACAGAAGAAGCACCGGCUAACUCCGUGCCAGCAGCCGCGGUAAUACGGAGGGUGCGAGCGUUAAUCGGAAUUACUGGGCGUAAAGCGCGCGUAGGCGGUCUGAUAAGCCGGUUGUGAAAGCCCCGGGCUCAACCUGGGAACGGCAUCCGGAACUGUCAGGCUAGAGUGCAGGAGAGGAAGGUAGAAUUCCCGGUGUAGCGGUGAAAUGCGUAGAGAUCGGGAGGAAUACCAGUGGCGAAGGCGGCCUUCUGGACUGACACUGACGCUGAGGUGCGAAAGCGUGGGUAGCAAACAGGAUUAGAUACCCUGGUAGUC